Molecule: transfer RNA, 70 nt
Filed under: Dallia pectoralis (Alaska blackfish)
Lineage: Eukaryota; Metazoa; Chordata; Actinopteri; Esociformes; Umbridae
Description: tRNA-OTHER
Rfam family: tRNA
About the family: Transfer RNA (tRNA) molecules are approximately 80 nucleotides in length. Their secondary structure includes four short double-helical elements and three loops (D, anti-codon, and T loops).
Source: RNAcentral
GGCUCUGUGGCGCAAUGGAUAGCGCAUUGGACUUCUAAUUCAAGGUUGUGUUCGAGUCCCACCAGAGAUG